UUAACAAAAUACUUAUGGAAAAUAAAAAUAUUUCUUAAAAAUAUAUAUGUAUACACAAAUUUACUAACUCUAACUCAAAGUCUUUAAAAGUCUUGUGUUGUGUCUUCAUCUUUGUGAGUGUCCCACAACUGGCCUUAAAAGAUUUGCAAGUCUUUUUAUAGUGAUCUUUUAAAAAAAAAAAAUUAUAGGGAAAUACUCCAAAAUGGGAAAUGCUCACAUAUAAAUACUAAAAACCCUUAACUCAUUUCAUCAUUUUUGUCAUUUGGAAGAGAGGAUGUCGAAAGAGCUUUGUGAGCUUACCGUUUCUAGGUUGAGCUCAAAUCUCUGAGCUUCGAUUUCCAAGAGAGAGAAGUCGAGAGUGAAACUUCAAAGUGGGGGUUUCUCAUUUGCAUCAGUGUUUCAUCCUUAAAGAUAUGAUUUUUGUACCAAAUUUGUCGUUUUGGUUGGAAAGUUCCAUUCUUUCCGGCUAGUGAAGCUUCGGCAGCCAUAUUUCCAUUGCCAUCAGGUUUUUUUGGAUUUGUAGAGAUGAGAAGUCAAACAAAAGAGGGAUGGGGAAGAGAGGGCUCGAAAUGUGUUCUGGAAAUCUUUAUUUGUUUAUGGGUUUUGUUAUUUUAGACUUCUGGAUUUCAAUUUUAAGAAUUUUGCUUUUUAA
Non-coding RNA from Malus domestica (apple), 652 nucleotides. Lineage: Eukaryota; Viridiplantae; Streptophyta; Magnoliopsida; Rosales; Rosaceae. The record is from RefSeq and is a predicted model, not a curated record.